This 74-nucleotide transfer RNA is filed under the name Sunxiuqinia dokdonensis. It matches the Rfam family "tRNA". Rfam says of the family: Transfer RNA (tRNA) molecules are approximately 80 nucleotides in length. Their secondary structure includes four short double-helical elements and three loops (D, anti-codon, and T loops). Further hydrogen bonds mediate the characteristic L-shaped molecular structure. tRNAs have two regions of fundamental functional importance: the anti-codon, which is responsible for specific mRNA codon recognition, and the 3' end, to which the tRNAs corresponding amino acid is attached (by aminoacyl-tRNA synthetases). tRNAs cope with the degeneracy of the genetic code in two manners: having more than one tRNA (with a specific anti-codon) for a particular amino acid; and 'wobble' base-pairing, i.e. permitting non-standard base-pairing at the 3rd anti-codon position. Lineage: Bacteria; Pseudomonadati; Bacteroidota; Bacteroidia; Marinilabiliales; Prolixibacteraceae. The record is from Rfam by way of RNAcentral.
CGGGAUGUAGCGCAGUCUGGUAGCGUACCACGUUCGGGACGUGGGGGUCGAAGGUUCAAAUCCUUUCAUCCCGA